GGUUUUGGCUCUAACAACCUGGGGCUGUGAUCUCAUCAGAAUUCACAAGCUAAACAGGGUUGGGCCUGGCUAGCAUGUGGAUGGGUGACCUUGAAGGGGAACACAGAUGCUGCUGGAAAUG
This 121-nucleotide ribosomal RNA is filed under the name Chelonoidis abingdonii (Abingdon island giant tortoise). Lineage: Eukaryota; Metazoa; Chordata; Testudines; Testudinidae. The record is from RNAcentral.